CAACAAGACACUCGAGUUAGAAAAUUUUUUUUUCCCCUUCUAAUUAAUCAUGCAAUUUUUUGCACAAUUUCAUUUGUUGUUAAUUCACUGGGUUCAAACGGUUCAACAUUGGCAGAAAACUAUAUCGUCGUAAGGUAAAAUCGAUUGUCACACCUUAAGGAUAUUAGGAAUCGUCAGGUAUUCACGCCAGGAUCCUUGUCCUCCUCCAGUGGCACUCACUCCACGAUUUUCGAUAAUCACAUUGUUUUUGGAGAACUCGCGUGCUGGACAAAAUUG
Long non-coding RNA from Leptopilina heterotoma, 276 nucleotides. RefSeq lists it as uncharacterized. The record is from RefSeq and is a predicted model, not a curated record. The transcript has 3 exons. NCBI's taxonomy places the organism in Eukaryota, Metazoa, Arthropoda, Insecta, Hymenoptera, Figitidae.